RNAcentral lists this ribosomal RNA (433 nucleotides) under uncultured bacterium. RNAcentral's name for it is "partial 16S ribosomal RNA". It matches the Rfam family "Bacterial small subunit ribosomal RNA", at positions 29 to 507 of the family's 1533-position model. The record is from RNAcentral.
AGCGAACGCUGGCGGCAGGCCUAACACAUGCAAGUCGAACGUAUCCUUCGUGAUUAGUGGCGGACGGGUGAGUAACACGUGGGAACGUGCCCUUUGGUUCGGAACAACUCAGGGAAACUUGAGCUAAUACCGGAUGUGCCCUUCGGGGGAAAGAUUUAUCGCCAUUGGAGCGGCCCGCGUCUGAUUAGCUAGUUGGUGAGGUAACGGCCCACCAAGGCGACGAUCAGUAGCUGGUCUGAGAGGAUGAUCAGCCACACUGGGACUGAGACACGGCCCAGACUCCUACGGGAAGCAGCAGUGGGGAAUCUUGCGCAAUGGGCGAAAGCCUGACGCAGCCAUGCCGCGUGAAUGAUGAAGGUCUUAGGAUUGUAAAAUUCUUUCAGCGGGGACGAUAAUGACGGUACCCGCAGAAGAAGCUCCGGCUAACUUCGUG